Molecule: ribosomal RNA, 253 nt
Filed under: uncultured bacterium
Lineage: Bacteria
Description: partial 16S ribosomal RNA
Rfam family: Bacterial small subunit ribosomal RNA
Source: RNAcentral
UACAGAGGUCUCGAGCGUUAGGCGGGAUCACUGGGCUUAAAGCGUGUGUAGGCGGAUCGUUAAGUACCUUGUGAAAUCCCACGGCUUAACCGUGGAACUGCUUGGUAUACUGGCGGUCUUGAGCCAGCUAGGGGCUACCGGAACAAAUGGUGGAGCGGUGAAAUGCGUAGAUAUCAUUUGGAACGCCAAUGGUGAAAACAGGUAGCUGGGGCUGUGCUGACGCUGAGACACGAAAGCCAGGGGAGCAAACGGG